CCUUAAUCAUGAACAGAACAGCGGCGGCAAGAACACUUUGCACAAUUUUCGUGCUCAUGCCUUUAUAGAACCCAUGGAACCCUUCAUAGCGAAUCAUCUUAAGGAUAGCGUCCAAUGUACCUAGAUAAAGGGAAAAGAAUGAAACAAUGAUCAUCAAGAUGAAUCUGUGAGACUUUUAAAAUUAAUGGAAAUGCGGUGUUCUCAAGCAUAGAUGGUAAGAGAACUAAGGGCACAAUAUUUGUCACUAUCCACCACAUGUUACAAUUUUGACCUUGCACAGUUUAUCAAGUAAGUCCAUCACGUAAAAGGCUUUGCCAAUAGAUAAGGCAGUUGGAGCAUGUUAGUUCCAUAAUUUAUGAGGUAAUUAAAAUUCACAAAAAUAGUUCAAACCUUCAUAGUGAUGUCUUUUGUCUCCAGUUGUAAUUUGUUUUGCUUGAAGCCUCGACUGAAAAUACAAAGGAAUCAGUAAGGAAAAAAGAGCAGUUCCCUACGAACAAAAGUUGGUUAUCCACUUGACGAGCAAAAUUUUUUUGGAACAAAUGAAAGGACAUUUGGCUUUUUGCCGACCAAAUAUUUGAUUCUAUCAUUUACUUUUUUGUCUUCAUAUUUGUUUUUCUCCUCUCUCCAUGUGACAAUUGAAUUCUAAGAAAAGGGUCGAUAUAAAAUUACUUGUAGAAGCUCUCUGCUUCUAGCUUUCUGAUAACUUCCAUUGCCUGACACAACAAUUGAUGAAUCCGCAUUAAACUUUUAGUUACUGUGUCUAAGUCACGGGGUAAUUAUUAGUUUUGGUGAGUGAAGGAAGGAAGCAUUUUGUGAGUUCACUCGCAAACCCUCAGAGUAAAUCAGUUUUCAAGUCUGCGUAGCAUUAGCAUCCCAUAAUAACAUUUCAUUUACCUUUACCACUAGAAGAGGAUAUGUUACAACAGUAGCUCCAAGCUUUGCUAAAGCUCCAAGAAGAAAUAUCUGGCAAAAAACCAGGCAAUUUAUUCAGCUAUUAAAUCAAGCUACUAAAAAAGGAAGGAUGCAAAACAAUUAUGUGAUUGUUGAAUUAACUGCUUGGGAAUAUGAAACAAAUAAGAAGUAGAGAGAUCGAGAACCAGGGAAAACAAAAGGAAAGCUAACCUCCAAAGCACUAACUCCGGUGUCACCCUGCUUAACCAAGGCACACUUUGUCUUCAACUUCUUCAACAUAGUUUCAUACAGCAUGAAUUGUAUUGAAGGGUUGCUGACCUGCAAGUAGCAGAGCAAUCAGUAAU
RNAcentral lists this long non-coding RNA (1256 nucleotides) under Populus tremula. RNAcentral describes it as "long non-coding RNA (PTRE_LNC002743)". The record is from RNAcentral. Lineage: Eukaryota; Viridiplantae; Streptophyta; Magnoliopsida; Malpighiales; Salicaceae.